UCUUAAAGCUGUUCUCAGUUCGGACUGCAGUCUGCAACUCGACUGCACGAAGCUGGAAUCGCUAGUAAUCGCGGAUCAGCACGCCGCGGUGAAUACGUUCCCGGGCCUUGUACACACCGCCCGUCACACCAUGGAAGUCUGCAAUGCCCGAAGCCGGUGGCCUAACCACUUAUGUGGAAGGAGCCGUCUAAGGCAGGGCAGAUGACUGGGGUGAAGUCGUAACAAGGUAUC
RNAcentral lists this ribosomal RNA (231 nucleotides) under uncultured bacterium. RNAcentral describes it as "partial 16S ribosomal RNA". It matches the Rfam family "Bacterial small subunit ribosomal RNA", at positions 1274 to 1500 of the family's 1533-position model. The record is from RNAcentral.